This 2270-nucleotide ribosomal RNA is filed under the name Coprobacillus sp. AF29-3BH. RNAcentral describes it as "partial 23S ribosomal RNA". It matches the Rfam family "Bacterial large subunit ribosomal RNA", at positions 1 to 2291 of the family's 2925-position model. Lineage: Bacteria; Bacillati; Bacillota; Erysipelotrichia; Erysipelotrichales; Coprobacillaceae. The record is from RNAcentral.
AGGUAAAGCAAGAAAGGGCGUAUGGGGAAUGCCUAGGCACACUCCGGCGAAGAAGGACGCAGCAAACAGCGAAAUGCGACGGUGAGCGGUAAGCACGUGAAGAGCCGUCGAUAUCCGAAUGGGGGAACCCACACGGAGUCAUAUCCGUGUAUCACAUGUCGAAUACAUAGACAUGAUGAGGCGAGACGCAGGGAACUGAAACAUCUAAGUACCUGCAGGAAGAGAAAAUAAGAAUGAUUUUCUGAGUAGCGGCGAGCGAAAGGGAAAGAGCCCAAACCGAUCUUAGGAUCGGGGUAGUAGGAUCAUCGAGGAAUCUGACAGAGGAUCAUAGAGGAAUCACAUGGGAAGGUGAGCGAGAGAGGGUGAGAGCCCCGUACUCGAAAUGAGAGACUGGAGAGAGAUGACACCUGAGUAGGGCGGGACACGAGAAAUCCUGUCUGAAUCAGCCGGGACCAUCCGGCAAGGCUAAAUACGAGAGAGUGACCGAUAGUGAACCAGUACCGUGAGGGAAAGGUGAAAAGAACCCCGGGAGGGGAGUGAAAGAGAACCUGAAACCAUAUGCCUACAAGAAGUCAGAGCCCGUUAAAGGGUGAUGGCGUGCCUUUUGUAGAAUGAACCGGCGAGUUACUGUAUGGAGCGAGGUUAAGCAGGAUAUGCGGAGCCGAAGCGAAAGCGAGUCUUAAGAGGGCGCGAGUUGCAUGCAGUAGACCCGAAACCGGGUGAUCUAGCCAUGACCAGGUUGAAGUUGGGGUAAAACCCGAUGGAGGACCGAACCGACCCCCGUUGAAACGUUGGCGGAUGAGUUGUGGCUAGGGGUGAAAUUCCAAUCGAACCCGGAGAUAGCUGGUUCUCCCCGAAAUAGCUUUAGGGCUAGCGUCGAGAGAAGAGUUGCGUGAAGGUAGAGCACUGAAUAUGUGAUGGCCCCAUCUCGGGGUACUGAGCAUAAUCAAACUGCGAAUGUCACGCCAACAUGCUCGGCAGUCAGACAGCGGGUGAUAAGGUCCGUUGUCAAGAGGGAAACAGCCCAGACCAUCAGCUAAGGUCCCAAAAUGUAUGCUAAGUGGAAAAGGAUGUGGAGAUGUACAGACAACUAGGAGGUUGGCUCAGAAGCAGCCAUCCUUUAAAGAGUGCGUAACAGCUCACUAGUCGAAUGACUCUGCGCCGAUAAUUUACCGGGGCUAAGCAUACUACCGAAGCUAUGGAUCCCAAGGGAUGGUAGGGGAGCGUUCCAUGAACGGAGAAGUACGACCGAAAGGACGUGUGGAGAUCAUGGAAGAGAGAAUGCCGGUGUGAGUAGCGGAACGUGGGUGAGAAUCCCACGCACCGAAAACCCAAGGUUUCCAGAGGAAGGUUCGUCCGCUCUGGGUAAGUCGGGACCUAAGGCGAGGCCGAAAGGCGUAGUCGAUGGACAACAGGUAGAGAUUCCUGUACCCGUAUAUAUGUGAAGGAAUGACGGAGAGAGGAAGCUGCAGCCAGCGGCUGGAAGAGCUGGUGCAAGCGAGAUAUCGGGAUGGCAGGCAAAUCCACCAUCCGAAACGAGAAGGCGUGAAGCGUACGGAAAGCUACGGCGAGUACGGAAGGCAGUGGAGGAACUUCCAAGAAAAGUUUCUAACGUUAAGUAUAUAUGGCCCGUACCGAAAAUGGACACACAUGGGUGAGGAGAGAAUCCUAAGGUGAGCGAGAGAACUAUAGCUAAGGAACUCUGCAAAAUGACUCCGUAACUUAGGGAGAAGGAGUGCUCAUAGAGAUAUGAGCCGCAGUGAAACGGCCCAAGCGACUGUUUACCAAAAACACAGCUCUCUGCUAAGCCGCAAGGCGAAGUAUAGGGGGUGACGCCUGCCCGGUGCUGGAAGGUUAAGGGGAGGGGUUAACGCAAGUGAAGCCCUGAACUGAAGCCCCAGUAAACGGCGGCCGUAACUAUAACGGUCCUAAGGUAGCGAAAUUCCUUGUCAGGUAAGUUCUGACCCGCACGAAAGGCGUAACGAUUUGGGCGCUGUCUCAGCUGUAGACUCGGUGAAGUCUUAGUACCUGUGAAGAUGCAGGUUACCCGCGACUAGACGGAAAGACCCCAUGGAGCUUCACUGCAGGUUGAUAUUGGGAUUUGAUGCAGCAUGUACAGGAUAGGUAGGAGGCAAAGAGAUGGAUACGCCAGUAUUCAAGGAGCCGCUGUUGGGAUACUACCCCUGUUGUAUUGGAUUUCUAACCGGACGACGUAGAGCCGUUGACGGGACAGUGUCAGUCGGGCAGUUUGACUGGGGCGGUCGCCUCCC